GUUUGUCAAGUUUUAAUUCUUUACUUUCCUUGCUUUUAAUUUGAAUGAUGGGACUUGGUGCAGAGGUUUAAUUCAUCUAAUGCUUUUCUUUUGUUUUUUUUUUUUUAUGAAAUCAAAAGUAGAUUAAGUGAGAAUUUAUUGGUGUUGGACGAUGAUAGUACUUCAUGCUAGCCUUUUCAUUUUGCUUUUAAGAAUAAAAAAAAAUUGAUGAAAGUUUGAUUCUUUUCCUUAACCUUUGGAGUUGCCGAUUAUUGCAUUUGGAGGACACAUCACUUUUCUUUUGUGAAAUCUUGAGAUGAUGGGACAUUGUGAUGAUGGGACAUUGUGGUAGCUGUUAUGCAAUUCCUUUUUUUUAUUUCCUUGAGAAUUAAUAAUGGAUUAGAUAGGAAUAGGUGAUAGUCACAUUGCACUUAACCUUUUUUCUUUAAUUUUGUUUUUGCUUGCAUUUAUUUUCUUUGGAGAAGAAGUGGUAGCAUGUUCUGGAUGGGUGUAGGGGUGAUUAUUUUCUCCCAGUAAAAAAUCGUGAAUGUGGAAGCAUGGUGCGCUGCUGUUGCCACGUCAAGCAUGGAAGGAAGAUUUAAUUUUAUUUUGAAGGAAAGCUACAGCAACGUGGUCCACAUUGGAAAUUAGCAACAUGGUCAAUUGAUUUUAGAGAAAUUGAAAGUGUGCCAUGGCUGAUUCCAAAUUUAAUAUUUGGGGAUUUACGAUUUAAGAAAAUGAAUAGGUUUUGGUGCAAGAAGGGUCAGGC
RNAcentral lists this long non-coding RNA (748 nucleotides) under Vigna radiata. RNAcentral's name for it is "long non-coding RNA (VRAD_LNC015884)". Lineage: Eukaryota; Viridiplantae; Streptophyta; Magnoliopsida; Fabales; Fabaceae. The record is from RNAcentral.